RNAcentral lists this ribosomal RNA (652 nucleotides) under uncultured bacterium. RNAcentral describes it as "bacterial SSU rRNA". It matches the Rfam family "Bacterial small subunit ribosomal RNA", at positions 138 to 807 of the family's 1533-position model. The record is from RNAcentral.
GGGGGAUAGCCCGAUGAAAGUUGGAUUAAUACCGCAUAUAGCUAUAUAGUUGCAUGAUUAUGUAGUGAAAGAUUUAUUGGUAUAGGAGGAGUCUGCGGCACAUUAGCUAGUAGGUGAGGUAAAGGCUUACCUAGGCGACGAUGUGUAGCCGGUCUGAGAGGAUGAACGGCCACAAUGGAACUGAGACACGGUCCAUACUCCUACGGGAGGCAGCAGUGGAGAAUAUUGCACAAUGGGGGAAACCCUGAUGCAGCAACGCCGCGUGAGUGAAGAAGGUUUUCGGAUUGUAAAGCUCUGUUAGCAGGGAAGAGGAAGGACGGUACCUGCAGAGGAAGCCACGGCUAACUACGUGCCAGCAGCCGCGGUAAUACGUAGGUGGCAAGCGUUGUUCGGAAUAACUGGGCGUAAAGGAUGCGUAGGCGGUUAAACAAGUUAUAUGUUAAAUAUAUAGGCUUAACCUGUAGAAAGCAUAUAAAACUGUUUAACUAGAGUGCAGGAGAGGUAAGUGGAAUUCCUAGUGUAGCGGUGAAAUGCGUAGAGAUUAGGAAGAACACCAGUGGCGAAGGCGACUUACUGGACUGUAACUGACGCUGAGGCAUGAGAGCAUGGGGAGCAAACAGGAUUAGAUACCCUGGUAGUCCACGCUGUAAAC